This 215-nucleotide ribosomal RNA is filed under the name uncultured bacterium. RNAcentral's name for it is "partial 16S ribosomal RNA". It matches the Rfam family "Bacterial small subunit ribosomal RNA", at positions 524 to 739 of the family's 1533-position model. The record is from RNAcentral.
UACGUAGGGACCAAGCGUUGUUCGGAUUUACUGGGCGUAAAGGGCGCGUAGGCGGCGCGGUAAGUCACUUGUGAAAUCUCUGAGCUUAACUCAGAACGGCCAAGUGAUACUGCAGUGCUAGAGUGUGGAAGGGGCAAUCGGAAUUCUUGGUGUAGCGGUGAAAUGCGUAGAUAUCAAGAGGAACACCUGAGGUGAAGACGGGUUGCUGACACCGA